CUAAGAAUAUUCCGCAAUGGGGGGAACCCUGACGGAGCGACGCCGCGUGGGCGAGGAAGGCCGGAAGGUUGUAAAGCCCUUUUGCGCGCGAGGAAUAAGGGGAGGAGGGAAUGCCUUCCCGGUGACUGUAGCGCGCGAAUAAGCGCCGGCUAAUUACGUGCCAGCAGCCGCGGUAACACGUAAGGCGCGAGCGUUGUUCGGAAUCAUUGGGCGUAAAGGGCGUGUAGGCGGCCCUGCAAGCCUGGCGUGAAAUCCCGGGGCUCAACCCCGGAACCGCGCUGGGAACUGCGGGGCUUGAGCCGCUGUGGCGCAGCCGGAAUUCCAGGUGUAGGGGUGAAAUCUGUAGAUAUCUGGAAGAACACCGAUGGCGAAGGCAGGCUGCGAGCGGACGGCUGACGCUGAGGCGCGAAGGCGCGGGGAGCGAACAGGA
Molecule: ribosomal RNA, 430 nt
Filed under: uncultured bacterium
Lineage: Bacteria
Description: bacterial SSU rRNA
Rfam family: Bacterial small subunit ribosomal RNA
Source: RNAcentral